RNAcentral lists this ribosomal RNA (160 nucleotides) under Escherichia coli. RNAcentral describes it as "partial 16S ribosomal RNA". It matches the Rfam family "Bacterial small subunit ribosomal RNA", at positions 1 to 152 of the family's 1533-position model. The record is from RNAcentral. Lineage: Bacteria; Pseudomonadati; Pseudomonadota; Gammaproteobacteria; Enterobacterales; Enterobacteriaceae.
UUAAAUUGAAGAGUUUGAUCAUGGCUCAGAUUGAACGCUGGCGGCAGGCCUAACACAUGCAAGUCGAACGGUAACAGGAAUCAGCUUGCUGAUUUGCUGACGAGUGGCGGACGGGUGAGUAAUGUCUGGGAAACUGCCUGAUGGAGGGGGAUAACUACUG